This 883-nucleotide ribosomal RNA is filed under the name uncultured bacterium. Its description in RNAcentral is "bacterial SSU rRNA". It matches the Rfam family "Bacterial small subunit ribosomal RNA", at positions 8 to 916 of the family's 1533-position model. The record is from RNAcentral.
AGAGUUUGAUCAUGGCUCAGGACGAACGCUGGCGGCGUGCUUAACACAUGCAAGUCGAACGAUGAUGCACUCUUCGGGGUGUGGAUUAGUGGCGAACGGGUGAGUAACACGUGAGUAACCCGCCCCCUUCUUUGGGAUAACUGUCGGAAACGGUGGCUAAUACCGGAUAUUCAUAUGCUGUCGCAUGGUGGUGUGUGGAAAGAUUUUUUGGUGGGGGAUGGGCUCGCGGCCUAUCAGUUUGUUGGUGAGGUGAUGGCUCACCAAGGCGUUGACGGGUAGCCGGCCUGAGAGGGCGACCGGCCACACUGGGACUGAGAUACGGCCCAGACUCCUACGGGAGGCAGCAGUGGGGAAUAUUGCACAAUGGGCGGAAGCCUGAUGCAGCGACGCCGUGUGCGGGAUGACGGCCUUCGGGUUGUAAACCGCUUUCAACUGUGACGAAUUUGACGGUAGCAGUAGAAGAAGCACCGGCUAACUACGUGCCAGCAGCCGCGGUAAUACAUAGGGGGCAAGCGUUAUCCGGAAUUAUUGGGCGUAAAGGGUGCGUAGGCGGUUAGUAAAGUUUAAGGUAUAAGCUCAUGGCUCAACCAUGGGAGGCUUUAGAAACUGGCUAACUUGAGUGCAGUAGAGGCAAGUGGAAUUCCAUGUGUAGCGGUAAAAUGCGUAAAUAUAUGGAGGAACACCAGUAGCGAAGGCGGCUUGCUGGGCUGUAACUGACGCUGAGGCACGAAAGCGUGGGGAGCAAACAGGAUUAGAUACCCUGGUAGUCCACGCCGUAAACGAUGAGUACUAAGUGUUGGGGUAGCCCAGUGCUGAAGUUAACGUAAUAAGUACUCCGCCUGAGUAGUACGUGCGCAAGCAUGAAACUCAAAUGAAUUGACGG